Molecule: ribosomal RNA, 194 nt
Filed under: uncultured bacterium
Lineage: Bacteria
Description: partial 16S ribosomal RNA
Rfam family: Bacterial small subunit ribosomal RNA
Source: RNAcentral
UCCUACGGGAGGCAGCAGUGGGGAAUAUUGCACAAUGGGCGCAAGCCUGAUGCAGCCAUGCCGCGUGUGUGAAGAAGGCCUUUUGGUUGUAAAGCACUUUAAGUGGGGAGGAGGCUUACCUGGUUAAUACCUGGGCUAAGUGGACGUUACCCACAGAAUAAGCACCGGCUAACUCUGUGCCAGCAGCCGCGGUA